AUCUCCAUCAAUGGUCAGCAGAACCAAGACCAACGGUCAGCCCAGGUCGAGGCCAUGUCAAGUCAAGGUCAACCAACCAAUGGUCAAGAUCAAGCCAUGGUUGAGACCAAUCCUGAGACCAAACUCAAGUCAAGACCAAGCCAUGGCCGAGACCAACCCAAAAACCAAGACAAACUCAAGACCAAUCCAAGGUCAAAACAAACUCAAAGUCAAGACCAACCCAUGGUCAAGACCAACCCAUGGCCAAGACCAACCCAAAGUCAAGAUCAACCCAUGGUCAAGAUCAACCAGCCCAAAGUCGACACCAAGCCAUGGCCAACCAAUAGUCAAGACCAACCAACCCAAGAUCAAAAUCAACCCAAGGUCAAAACGAACUCAAAGUCAAGACCAACCAAUGGCCAAGACCAACUCAAGGUCAAAACCAACCCAAAAUCAAGACCAACUCAUGGUCAAGAUCAACCAACCCAAAGUCGAGACCGACCCAAGGUCAAGACCAACCCAAAGUCAAAACCGACUCAAGGUCAAGACCAACCAAUGGCCAAGACCAACCCAAGGUCAACCCAAAGUCAAGACCAACCCAUGGCCAAAGUCAAGGCCUACUCAUGUCAAGAUCAAGCAAGUCAACGUCAAGACCAACCCAAGGUCAAGACCAUCCAAUGACCAAAGUCAAGACCAAUCCAUGACCAAGACCAACCCAAGGUCAACCCAAAGUCAAAACCAACCCAAGGUCAAGAUGAACCCAAAGUCAAGACUGACCCAAUGUCGAGACCAAUCCAAGGCCAACCCAAGGUCAAGACCAACCGAUGGCCAACGUCAACCCAAAGUCAAGAGCAACUCACGGUGAAGACCAACCCAAGGUCAACCCAAAGUCAAGACCAACCAAUGGCCAAGCUCAACCAAUGGCCAAGACCAACCCAAGAUCAACCUUAAGUCAAGACCAAUCCAUGGCCAAUGUCAACCCAAAGUCAAGACCAAUCCAUGACCAAGACCAACCCAAGGUCAACCCAAAGUCAAGACCAACCCAUGGCCAAAGUCAAGACCAACUCACGUCAAGACCAACCCAAAGUCAAAACCAACCCAAGGUCAAGACCAACCAAUGGCCAAAGUCAACCCAAAGUCAAGAUCAACUCAUGGUGAAGACCAACCCAAGGUCAACUCAAAGUCAAGACCAACCCAUGGCCAAAGUCAAGGCCAACUCAUGUCAAGAUCAAGCAACUCAACAUCAAGACCAACCCAAAGUCAAAACCAACCCAAGGUCAAGAUGAACCCAAAGUCAAGACCGACCCAAUGUCGAGACCAAUCCAAGGCCAACCCAACAUCAAGACCAACCCAUGGCCAAAGUCAAGGCCUACUCACGUCAAGAUCAAGCAACUCAACGUCAAGACCAACCCAAAGCCAAAACCAACUCAAGGCCAAGAUGAACCCAAAGUCAAGACUGACCCAAAGUCGAGACCAACCAAUGGCCAAAGUCAACCCAAGGUCAAGACCAACUCAUGGCCAAGACCAACCCAAAAACCAACUCAAAGUCAAGACCAACCUAUGACCAAAGUCAAGGCCAACUCAUGUCAAGAUCAAGCAACUCAAGAUCAAGACCAACCAAUGGCCAAAGUCAACCCAAAGUCAAAACCAACCCAAGGUCAAGACGAACCCAAAGUCAAGACCGACCCAAUGUCGAGACCAAUCCAAGGCCAACCCAAGGUCAAGACCAACCAAUGACCAAAGUCAACCCAAAGUCAAGACCAACUCAUGGUGAAGACCAACCCAAGGCCAACUCAAAGUCAAGACCAAUCCAUGGCCAAAGUCAAAACCAACCCAAGGUCAAGAAGAACCAACCGAUGAUCAAG
This is a long non-coding RNA of Zonotrichia albicollis (white-throated sparrow), 1844 nucleotides long. The record is from Ensembl. NCBI's taxonomy places the organism in Eukaryota, Metazoa, Chordata, Aves, Passeriformes, Passerellidae.